This 351-nucleotide unclassified non-coding RNA is filed under the name soil metagenome. RNAcentral's name for it is "partial contains 5.8S ribosomal RNA, internal transcribed spacer 2, and large subunit ribosomal RNA". The stretch from base 1 to 120 matches the Rfam family "5.8S ribosomal RNA", at positions 35 to 154 of the family's 154-position model. The record is from RNAcentral.
GAUGAAGAACGUAGCGAACUGCGAUAAGUAAUGUGAAUUGCAGAAUUCAGUGAAUCAUCGAGUCUUUGAACGCACAUUGCGCCCCCUGGCAUUCCGGGGGGCAUGCCUGUCCGAGCGUCAUUGCUGCCCUUCAAGCCCGGCUUGUGUGUUGGGUCGUCGUCCCCCCCGGGGGACGGGCCCGAAAGGCAGCGGCGGCACCGCGUCCGGUCCUCGAGCGUAUGGGGCUUUGUCACCCGCUCGAUUAGGGCCGGCCGGGCGCCAGCCGGCGUCUCCAACCUUCUAUUUUACCAGGUUGACCUCGGAUCAGGUAGGGAUACCCGCUGAACUUAAGCAUAUCAAUAAGCGGAGGAA